RNAcentral lists this ribosomal RNA (260 nucleotides) under uncultured bacterium. RNAcentral describes it as "partial 16S ribosomal RNA". It matches the Rfam family "Bacterial small subunit ribosomal RNA", at positions 73 to 334 of the family's 1533-position model. The record is from RNAcentral.
UCUUGCAAACUAAAGAUGGCGACCGGCGCACGGGUGAGUAACACGUAUCCAACCUGCCGAUAACUCGGGGAUAGCCUUUCGAAAGAAAGAUUAAUAUCCGAUAGUAUAUUAAAACCGCAUGGUUUUAUUAUUAAAGAAUUUCGGUUAUCGAUGGGGAUGCGUUCCAUUAGUUUGUUGGCGGGGUAACGGCCCACCAAGACUACGAUGGAUAGGGGUUCUGAGAGGAAGGUCCCCCACAUUGGAACUGAGACACGGUCCAA